Triplophysa dalaica is the source of this 1782-nucleotide long non-coding RNA. RefSeq lists it as uncharacterized. The record is from RefSeq and is a predicted model, not a curated record. Lineage: Eukaryota; Metazoa; Chordata; Actinopteri; Cypriniformes; Nemacheilidae. The transcript has 3 exons.
UAGCAACUGCGGAGACAACACACACACACCCUCUGUGACCUUUCACGGUUUCCACCCCAACAUUAGACAUAAAUGGGGUCAUUCAUGAUUUUUUAAAAAUGAAUGAAAGAUAACUGUUCAUUAUCCGUGUUCUCUAGGAAGUGAGCCGCAUCUGUCAGAACCUUUUUGGAGGAAUUUCCCUUGGCAUUACUGAUGAAUUAGAGGCCAUGAGCGAGUCAGCUGUAGGGAAAUUAUUUUUGCUCACAUUGUUAUAACCUACUUCUGUGGCGCCCACUUACGCAGAGACCAUGAGAGGGGGAGUUUCCUGAUUAGACAGGAAGUUGUUUUUCCGAUACCACCCGAUUUACAAAGCCAGUAAAGAACAUAAGCAUGUUAGUUAAAGGUUACAACCAACUGUGUGCUAAAAUUAACUUCUGCAAGUAGUUCAGAAUUAAGAACAUACGCAUUCAUUGCAUUGGCUUUAUAUGAGAAGAUUAUUUCUAAUGCAGUUUUUGAAGGUUAUUUUAUUAUACAAAGGUGUUUUCUAAUAUCUAGAACCGCAUCACUUUGAGGUCUCAUUCAUUAGUUAACAUUAGAUAACAUGAACAAACAAGCAGAAACAUAUGUAUUACAGCAUUUAUUAUUCUUUGUUUGUUUUGUGUUCAUGGUGCAUUAACUUAUGUUAACAUCUACAACUUUUGAAUUAAAAACGUGCUAAUGAAUGUUCAAAUUAACAUUAAUUAAGACGAAUAAAUGCUGCUAAAGUAUUGUUCAGUGUUAGUUCAUGUCAACUAAUGUAGUUUAAUAAGGGAAAUGUGCAGGCAGCCGGUUGUUAUCGCAAAACUGGAAAUGAAACGUGAAAUAUUUUAUUAGAUCAUUUUAACUGAAUUGCAUGCCUUCCGCGAGGAAAAGCUGUUUACUUUUUAUUUUGAAGGUCAGAAAGGAACAGGCAAUAUGUUAUAAAAAGACAUUUAUAUUUAAUUUGUCAAAAAACCUGUCAAAACGAUUUGCUGCAUCCGGGUUACAGUGUUUUAUUCGUUUUGAGAGGUUGUUAUCUGGGAAUAAAGAACCUGCAAAUGUCGCCACUGGCCAAUCAGAAUCAAGCAUCCCAACGAGCUGUGUAAUGUAACAGAUAAAACCUUAUUGUAAAGUCUUACCAUUAUAUCACACAUAAAAAUAAAUGAAUACUUAUAAUACAUCCUAUACACAACAAACAAAGUACGAUGUAAGGCCCAUCUGGGUCUGCUAGUUAGGUUUAGGUUCAUUUUGUCCACUUUUCGUAAUUAAAAUUGUAUUAUCUAAUGAUACAUCCGCACAACACUCUAAAUAUAUAGCCAACCUGUCAAUUACCGCAAUGUCAAUCUUUUACAGUUUGAAUAUGCAAAGAUCGAUUUCCAGUCUAUCGUGUAUCCCUUCUUUUUUAUUUCAGACACAAGGAAGUGCUGCCUGCAGAACUGCAGGUGUAUUCAUUUUCUGCUUAUUCAUGAUAAGGAAGUGGACAGUGAGCCACACAUGUGCUCUUACUGUGGAAAGCCCCGAAAACAAUGCUGUGCCUUUUCACAAUCACACCUCAUGCCCUCUGGGCAUACUCUUCCUUGGUCAGCUGAAUGGAUUCCAGCGGUGCUUUGCAACCUUUGCACUCUCCACUAAAACACAAGAUAUUGCCAGCUAGAACAUAUAAGAUAUUUUGAAGAAUGAUGGCAAGCUCGACAUCGGCCUCCAUUAAUUUCCACUGUAUGGACACAAACCACCGAGACUUUUCUUAAAGUGUUCUACAGGAGAAAGAGUCAUAUACAGGUUUCA